This 253-nucleotide ribosomal RNA is filed under the name uncultured bacterium. RNAcentral's name for it is "partial 16S ribosomal RNA". It matches the Rfam family "Bacterial small subunit ribosomal RNA", at positions 524 to 776 of the family's 1533-position model. The record is from RNAcentral.
GACGAACCGUGCGAACGUUGUUCGGAUUCACUGGGCAUAAAGGGCGCGUAGGCGGACGGUCAAGUCGGGGGUGAAAUCUUUCAGCUUAACUGGAAAAGUGCCUCCGAUACUGAUCGUCUCGAGGGAGGUAGGGGCAUGUGGAACUUCCGGUGGAGCGGUGAAAUGCGUAGAGAUCGGGAGGAACACCAGUGGCGAAGGCGGCUACCUGGACCAGCACUGACACUGAGGCACGAAAGCGUGGGGAGCAAACAGG